This 468-nucleotide ribosomal RNA is filed under the name uncultured bacterium. RNAcentral describes it as "partial 16S ribosomal RNA". It matches the Rfam family "Bacterial small subunit ribosomal RNA", at positions 28 to 507 of the family's 1533-position model. The record is from RNAcentral.
GACGAACGCUGGCGGCGUGCUUAACACAUGCAAGUCGAACGGAAAGGCCCUGCUUUUGUGGGGUUCUCGAGUGGCGAACGGGUGAGUAACACGUGAGUAACCUGCCCUUGACUUUGGGAUAACUUCAGGAAACUGGGGCUAAUACCGGAUAGGAGCUCCUUCUGCAUGGUGGUGGUUGGAAAGUUUCGUCGGUUGGGAAUGGACUCCCGGCUUAUCAGCUUGUUGGUGGGGUAGUGGCUUACCAAGCCUUUGACGGUUGGCCGGCCUGGGAGGGUGACCGGCCACAUUGGGACUGGAAUACGGCCCGGACUCCUACGGGAGGCAGCAGUGGGAAUUAUUGCCCAAUGGGCGGAGGCCGGAUGCAGGAACGCCGCGUGCGGGAUGACGGCCUUCGGGUUGUAACCCGCUUUCGCCUGGGACGAAGCGUGAGUGACGGUAAUGGGUAAAGAAGCACCGGCUAACUACGUG